This is a long non-coding RNA of Monomorium pharaonis (pharaoh ant), 3310 nucleotides long. RefSeq lists it as uncharacterized. NCBI's taxonomy places the organism in Eukaryota, Metazoa, Arthropoda, Insecta, Hymenoptera, Formicidae. The record is from RefSeq and is a predicted model, not a curated record. The transcript is spliced from 3 exons.
UUGUUCGUGCGGCGAAUUCCCCCGCGCGAUUUACUACAACCAGUCCCGAUUUUCAUUGUGGUAUCUCGCGUGAGGCCCCGCUGGCGUCGAUUACACCUGAAAUUCCGUGUCACACACCGGCGCGGCGGCUGGCAUUGGCUGUACGCGAGGACGGACGCGCUGGAAAAGUUUCGACGGACUAAAAGUAACGAGCAAUUAACAAUUAAAGCAGGUCCGUUAAAUCCGCCCGGUUGCGCGCGGAUUUUUCCUUACGUCAGGUCAGCAAUUUUUACCCGUCGCCUGUUAAUUAUUUUCAAGAAAUUUACUUAGAGUGUGUCGAGCGACACAAAAGUUUACAAAGCGGGCGGCGAUUCACGCUCGAGAGAAAUUAGAGAGUACCAUUUUUAGAGCUGUCGGAAAAAGAGAGAAACGUCCUUCGCUGGUGCAAGGAAAAUUGUGUAAAUAAAGCCAGCUAAGGCGAGAAGAAAUGCCUUAACUUCCUUCACGGCGCGAUAACGUGUGCAACACUGUCGUUCGAUAAAUGCAGGAUAAAAAUAUCGCCCAUAUUACAGUCGCGUAUUUCAUAUACGCAAGUAUGUAAAAUAGACUCGUUACAUGCACCCGCGAUUUAUUAGAGUCUGCGGAUAUACAUGGAAAGCGUACGUGUAUUUUAGUAAAUAGUUCCACGUUCACUGCACCGAUUUACCGCCGCUGUACCGAAAUCACGACGUGAUAGAGGACGAUUACCGUGCAACUGAGCGCGAUCAAAAUUCCGAGUUGGAGCGCACGUGCGUUCACUUCCGUACUGAUUUUUGAGGUGGUUUCCGAUCGCGGGGGAGGGAGGGGAAGGGCUCGCCGAAAAUGCGAUUCCCGCCGCGCGGCCGGCCGCGAAUUAUCAUUCCGGAAAUGAAUAUUUUAUCAUUAACUUUGCGCGAUUCCAUUGUAGUAAUUGCGAACACUUCCGGCCAGCGGGUGCCAAACCGCACAGCGCUACAAUCAAUUACGACGGCGUCAUGCCACACUCCAUAUAUUAUGCAGCACGUCGAAUGUUCUGUCAAAUAAUACCUAUACGUGUGCAAUCAGGGUUCGUGCGAAUAUUUGAACGGUUUGAAGGUUUAUCCAUAUCAAUGACAGAAGAGUAAUUUCUUUAGAAACAAAAGAUUAUUUAUGUAAUAUUUUAUACAAUAUUUAUUAUACAUAUUAUGCUAUAUACACACACACUAUGAUAAUUUGAUGAAAAACACAGUAAAAAUUUUUAUAAUUUUUUUCUUGAUCCGAACUUACUGCUUACCAUAGUCAUUUUUACUAUAAUUUUUUCCGUAUGUGUGUGUGUGUGUGUGUGUGUGUGUGUGUGUGUGUGUGUGUUUCACGAAAGGAGUAAUUUUUCUAAAAUACAUCAUAAUUAUGUUGGAUUAUUAAAAUAAUUAUAUUAGAUGUUUAAGCUGGCUGCUAGAAUGUGAAAAUUUUUUACAGUAAAAAUGCUUGAGUAUCCAGUACAGUUAUUUUGAUAGUUUUAACGGUCAAUCUAAAAAUUAUAUUUAUUUGAUCUGUAUCCAGCUAUAUUUCUAUAGAUAUUACAAUAAAAUUGUUCAAUAAAAUUGUUCUUUCGGUGCAUGUCGUAAUAUAUAAUCAUUUUUACCACACACAUGCAAUUAAUGUAUGCAAUGAUAAAUCAUAAAAUAGAAGAAAUUAUUACAAUGAUAUAUCGCAUGGUAUAAACUCAUGAUUACGUUCUCCGCGCUGUCGUGACGCUGAGUUUUCCUUUAAUCAAAAUUUUACCGUGUCAUGCCGUGAUAUCACGGCGACCAUAAAACCGUCAUUGUAUAAGCGCAAAUGUGAAUUAAGCUUGAGUAUGCGUUUGCGCGCAUAUGCGACGAGAGCGAGGGUGUGCGCCUCGAUAAAUUGGCAGCGUUAAAUUUAACGUCAUUCAUUCCAGCGACGGUGAUGUCGAUCCAAGCACGCGCGUGUUUUACACACGUGUGGAACACUCGCUCGCAGUUGUCGGAAAAUCAGGGUCGAUCGCACAUUUUUCGGUGUCCUUGUCCUUGCGAGUCUCACACACAUCUGCGACUGGACAGGCAAAAACGAAAAAAAUUUGCAUCGCGCAUGGCCUAAGAUUACGUCGAUGGGUCCGUACUGAUUGACGCCACGGAUAUUGCUAAGCCUCACGUAAUACGAUUAUUAAACGAGUACGCUCCACCGUUGGAAACUCACGAUGACAACGCGUAGGAAAUCGAAUUUACGUAGGGAAGGAGACGCGAAGGAAGCAAGCGCGUAUCUCAUAAUUUAUUUCGCAUCUCGAGAGAAUUUCGUGUAACAUAUAUUACUCUCGAUGGGUAAGCAAUAUUAAUAUUGCCAAUGGAUAAGCAGUUCACAAUUUCACAUAAUCUAAUCUCUGUCCACGGUCUCAUAUUCAUCAGCGAACACCGCGGAUAUUGUGGAAGUACGGUAACAUACGUAUGGUCAAUGGAAACUAGAGAGAAGUUUAACAUCAUGUAGAAGGAUAACUUAGGGAAGGCAAUCUAACUAUCUCGCGCACGUACGGUGGUGUAACUGAAGUACGUAGUUAGCGUUUCCAACAUGUACUGAAGUCUGCUUGAGAAAUACUUUCCUCACUGUGUAACAGAGAUAUCUGUCUUCCCGCAUCGUAAAGUAUUUGUGCUAAUAUUAAUUUGGCAAAUUAAAGGUGCUGUUCAAUUCCUGUAUUCGUAGUGAUGUAAAUUUAAAAAUACAUUUUUUACAUGUAUCUAACCAUGUGUUGCCAAAUAUUUCGAAUGUUGUAUCGACAACAAUUUUUUAAUUUGUAUAAAGAAUUAUCUUUAAUAUUUUUAAUAGCAUUCAUGAAACGUAUUGUAUAAUAUAAAUUAUAAUAUGAUGGUAUUUAUUGCGAAUAUGUAUAUAUUAGAACCAGGAUUGGCAAAGUUAUAAAAGUAACCUAUUAUUGUGUUAAAUUAAAAAAUUCAAUCAAACAAUUGCUAAUUACUUCAUAACAAGUUAAUACAAUUUUUAUUAGCUUUUUUUUAAUAUAUUAAUAAAAUUUUAUAUAUAAAUUAUAUAUAAUACCAUUCAAAAUUUGAUGUAUAUUAACUUCUUACAUAUUAUUACAUUAUGCCCCGUAUUCAGAGCGCGCUUAUAAAAAUGUAAGCUUUUUUAUCAUUCUAUCCUCAUUUUACGUUUAAUGAUGUAUAAAGAUAGAAUGAUAAAAACUCGCGCGUUAACUUCUUUAUGAGCGCGUUCUGAAUACGGGCCUAUUUAUGUAUUAAACAUGUAUACACUUGACUUGACGUUGUAUUAAUGAAAAAAAUUAAAUAAACUUUGUUGUAUAUUUAAA